GACGAACGCUGGCGGCGUGCUUAACACAUGCAAGUCGAACGGAAAGGCCCUGCUUUUGUGGGGUGCUCGAGUGGCGAACGGGUGAGUAACACGUGAGUAACCUGCCCUUGACUUUGGGAUAACUUCAGGAAACUGGGGCUAAUACCGGAUAGGAGCUCCUGCUGCAUGGUGGGGGUUGGAAAGUUUCGGCGGUUGGGGAUGGACUCGCGGCUUAUCAGCUUGUUGGUGGGGUAGUGGCUUACCAAGGCUUUGACGGGUAGCCGGCCUGAGAGGGUGACCGGCCACAUUGGGACUGAGAUACGGACCAGACUCCAACGUGAGGCAGCAGUGGGAAAUAUUGCACAAUGGGCGGAAGCCUGAUGCAGAAACGCCGCGUGCGUGAUGACGGCCUUCUGGUUGAAAACCGCUUUCGCCUGUGACGAAGCGUGAGUGACGGUAAUGGGUAAAGAAGCACCGGCUAACUACGUG
This 468-nucleotide ribosomal RNA is filed under the name uncultured bacterium. RNAcentral describes it as "partial 16S ribosomal RNA". It matches the Rfam family "Bacterial small subunit ribosomal RNA", at positions 28 to 507 of the family's 1533-position model. The record is from RNAcentral.